Molecule: unclassified non-coding RNA, 561 nt
Filed under: Hevea brasiliensis (rubber tree)
Lineage: Eukaryota; Viridiplantae; Streptophyta; Magnoliopsida; Malpighiales; Euphorbiaceae
Source: RNAcentral
UAAUAUGUUAGAAGUACACACACAUAUAUAUAAUUUAGGUAAUUUAGGUUAUGGCACCUCCUCGCCUCUUGCCUAAGGCCACAAGGUACCUUGUCGCCUUUCGUCUUAAUAACACUGCUUCUAAGAGGGUCCAACCUUAGAGAGAGAUCAAUUUUCAUAUAUAUUAACUUUCUUAAGCUUGGUCCUCUUUUGAACUUCCAGACAUUGCAACACUUUAUGUAGGAGUGGCCACUAGGCCAGUUCCAGUUCAAGGGGACCAGAACUGGAACCACAGGGUCCCCCUUGGUUCUGAUUUUGAUCAAAGCCACCAUUUGAAAUUUUUUCAAAAUUUUAAUUUUUAAAAAAGGUAAAAAAAAAAUCCAGUUUUGGAUCAAACUGAACAGUUCCAGUCUGGUUCAAGGAUAGUUUUGGUCAAACUGCUUUUGACCAGUUUCAGUUGCUGAUUGGACUGGUCCACUUCCGAUUUUGAACCAGACAAUGGACAGAUCUAACUUUAUGUCAACAACAGACCAAAACCAAUACUAAAUUUUAACGUAUAACCAUAUGACCGGCCAUGUUAUA